Molecule: ribosomal RNA, 496 nt
Filed under: uncultured bacterium
Lineage: Bacteria
Description: partial 16S ribosomal RNA
Rfam family: Bacterial small subunit ribosomal RNA
Source: RNAcentral
GAUGAACGCUGGCGGCGUGCCUAAUACAUGCAAGUCGAGCGAACAGACGAGGAGCUUGCUCCCCUGACGUUAGCGGCGGACGUGUGAGUAACACGUGGAUAACCUACCUUUAAGACUGGGAUAACUUCGGGAAACCGGCGCUAAUAGCGGAUAAUAUAUUGAACCGCAUGGUUCAAUAGUGAAAGACGGUUUUGCUGUUACUUGUAGAUGGUUCCGCGCCUCAUUAGCUAGUUGGUAAGGCAACGCCUUACCACGGCAACGAUGGGUAGCCGACCUGAGAGGGUGAUGGGCCACUGUGAAACUGAGACACGGCCCAGACCCCUACGGGAGGCAGCAGGAGGGAAUCUGGCGCAGGGGGCGAGAGCGUGACGGAGAAGCGGCGCGUGAGUGAUGAAGGUUUGCGGAUCGUAAAACUCUGUUAUGAGGGAAGAACAAAUGUGUAAGUAACGAUGCACGUGUGGACGUUACCUAAUAAGAAAGCCACGGCUAACUACGU